ACUAGAGUAGCACUCGCAUAUCAAUAAGCGGAGGAAAAGAAACUAACAAGGAUUCCCCUAGUAACGGCGAGUGAAGCGGGAAGAGCUCAAAUUUGAAAUCUUAAAGGGUUUCCCUUUACGAAUUGUAGUUUAAAGAAGUGUUUUCUGUUGAGGUUUUGGUAAAAGUUCUUUGGAAUAGGACAUCAUAGAGGGUGAGAAUCCCGUAUUUGACCUUUACUUUCAACUUUGUGAUACACUUUCAAAGAGUCGGAUUGUUUGGGAAUGCAGUCCAAAAUGGGUGGUAAAUUUCAUCUAAAGCUAAAUAUUGGCGAGAGACCGAUAGCGAACAAGUACCGUGAGGGAAAGAUGAAAAGAACUUUGAAAGAGAGUUAAACAGUACGUGAAAUUGUCAAAAGGGAAGCGUUUGACACCAGUGUUGUUUUUCUGAAAAUCAAUUAAAGAACUGUUUAUGCUAAGCUGUUUAGACUUUAUCAGCUAUCUGUUUAGUUUUAGGCUUUUCUUUAAUGCACUUUUCAGUUAACAAGUCAACAUCAAUUUCUUUUGCUGUAAAAAAGCUUGAGGAAGGUGGCUUGAGAUUCGUCUUAAGUGUUUAUAGCCUCUUGCCUAUGCAGUCGGAGAGAUUGAGGUCUGCAGCGUAGAUCCUUCGGGGCUAAAUGCAUUUGUGCUAAGUUAUAGCAUUUUAUAGACAACUUGUUGACUAUGAUUUGUCUUGUAGCUUACUCGCUUAUGUUAUUUUACCUACGCUUAGGAUGUUGAGCGCAUGUCUCUCUCU
RNAcentral lists this ribosomal RNA (772 nucleotides) under uncultured Neocallimastigales. RNAcentral's name for it is "partial large subunit ribosomal RNA". It matches the Rfam family "Eukaryotic large subunit ribosomal RNA", at positions 20 to 616 of the family's 3401-position model. Lineage: Eukaryota; Fungi; Neocallimastigomycota; Neocallimastigomycetes; Neocallimastigales. The record is from RNAcentral.